RNAcentral lists this ribosomal RNA (253 nucleotides) under uncultured bacterium. RNAcentral describes it as "partial 16S ribosomal RNA". It matches the Rfam family "Bacterial small subunit ribosomal RNA", at positions 524 to 776 of the family's 1533-position model. The record is from RNAcentral.
UCCAGAGGUCCCAAGCGUUGUUCGGAUUUACUGGGCGUAAAGGGUUCGUAGGCGGUCGGGUAAGUCUGAUGUGAAAUCUCAGAGCUCAACUCUGAAACUGCAUUGGAUACUAUUCGGCUUGAGGUCUGGAGGGGGGACUGGAAUUCUCGGUGUAGCAGUGAAAUGCGUAGAUAUCGAGAGGAACACCAGUGGCGAAGGCGAGUCCCUGGACAGAUCCUGACGCUGAGGCACGAAAGCGUGGGGAGCAAACGGG